GUAAGAGAAGGCAUAAGACAAAUCGAAGAGUAGAGCAUUUUUAUGUAAUUAAUAUAAAAUAGUUCAAUUAUCAGAAACAACAAUUUUAAGGCACAUAUAUAGAGUCAGGAGACAUAGAUAUCAUCUGAAGGAGGCUUGAAUUUGAGAAUGUUUCUUCAAGUGCAGGUCCCCUCUUACUACCAUUUCCAUCAAUGCUCUCUUUUGUAAUGUGCACAAGCUCCCUAGCAACUUCUACCAUCCCAAUUUUGCCAUCUCCACCGAACAGCAGACAUCUGGUAGCUAUGUCUGCAACUAUCUCUAUUUGCUCUCUGCGAAAUGGAGGUUGCUCAUGAUAAUAGAGACCUGGAUCCACAAUUUCUGCCAGCUUUCCACUCCUGAUUUUCUGCAAUGCUGCAGCUGGGAGGUCUUUGUUCUUGGAACCUGUAAUUAACUCUAGCAGCACCACACCAAAGUCAGAAACAUCACUUCUAUUAUUUGAAUAAGAUUCAUUUGUAAGGCUUGAUGAUUCAAGUAGGCUGAACCCUGCAAUUCUAACCGACUGAUCUUCAUCUAAAAAUAUGCAGCCGGAUUUGAUAUUAUGAUGAAAGAUAGGAGGAAAUAUUUCAUACUGCAGGAAGGCUAAGACACAUGCAAUUUCAGCGGCAAUGUUCAUUCUCUUGUACCAAUCAAGGCCCAUUUUUUCUAGUCCUCUACUUUGGUGCAAAUGUUCCUCAAGGGUACCAUUUGCAGGAUACUCAUGGACCACCAGUGGAGUGUAGCCAGAGUCGAUACAACAUCCAAGGAGACGUGCCAUAUUCCUGUGUGAAACUGCAGAUAAAACCUCAAUCCUGGAUAGGACCUGCAUUAGAUCUCUUUGAUCUUGGCACUGUACCUUGUGCACAGCUACAUGUGAACCAUCUCCAAGGACCCCUGCAUAUAUGGUUCCAUUCCUACCAUGCACAAGUUUCUGACAAUCUUCAAAUCCUUUAGUGGCUUCCUCCAGCUCUUGGUAAGUGAAUAAUCGAGUCCUACAAGCUUUCCUGAAUGAGAUGGUGCUAUGAAAAUGUGACUGGUCAGGGUCAUAUGCACCGGACUUACCAGGCCGUUUCAACAGACAAAACAGCGCAAUUAAGGAGGCAAUAAUGAAUACGGGGCCAACAACUCCAGCUAGAAUGGAAACUGUUUUUCCGCUAUGUCUUUUUGUGUAGCACUGAGUGCCAUUUGCUUCCACUCCAUUCUUGAUGCAGGAUUUUAAACAACCCACGCCACUGGCAAAUCCAUCACCAACAAACCCGUCCUGACAUUUGCACCUAAACCCUCCUUUAACUGUGGUGGCAUUGACAGUGUUUGAAUUGAUGGCACAAGCUUUCUUGGAAGAAUUCCCACCUGGAAUCGCCCAUUCCAAUUUAACCCCACGUUUUCCAGUGUUAGAACCACGAGAAAUAGCCCAAGAAGAGUAUCCCCUGCAUCCAAACUUGGAAAACACUGAAAAACCAUCUCCUAAAUCCCAUGCACUAUGGUCAGAAAGUGGAUAACAGCAGGCAGGAGAGGCAUUGGAUUUGCCAUCACAGCCAGGCAAGUCAAUCGUUUCACAAUCUGCCUUGCACAAAGAAGAAUCUUCACAAUCAUACAAGCCAAUAACGUUGUCCACCGAUAUCCCAAAAUGGCCAUUUCCACUGAAACCAAAAGAAUUCAAAUCAUUAUAUUGGCGACAAAUAGAGCUACCCGGAAAGUCCACCAAAAUACCAUCAGAGACAAAUUCAAC
Molecule: unclassified non-coding RNA, 1744 nt
Filed under: Hevea brasiliensis (rubber tree)
Lineage: Eukaryota; Viridiplantae; Streptophyta; Magnoliopsida; Malpighiales; Euphorbiaceae
Source: RNAcentral